UGCUGAAAUUAAUGCUUUAUCAAGCAUUUUCCCUGAAUCUUAUAUCCUUUUGUGCUGGUAUCACGUCUUGCAGGCUGUUCAAAGAUGGUUAUCCAAAACAGAGUUUGGAGUGCAUGGACCUUCCAACUUGAACAUUGAAUUUCUUUCUUUUGCAAACUGAAGACCUGUAAAACUGAGGCAGAAUUUGAGACCACAGCCAAGAAGUUCAACAAAAUGUUCAGACAACACCCAGCUGAGUGGCAGUACUUCACAAGACACUGGGAAGAGAUUGGUCACAUGUGGUCCGAUUACGGACGUUGCUUUGAGCAUUUGAACACUGAUACGAACAAUGUAA
Long non-coding RNA from Sardina pilchardus (European sardine), 334 nucleotides. RefSeq lists it as uncharacterized. NCBI's taxonomy places the organism in Eukaryota, Metazoa, Chordata, Actinopteri, Clupeiformes, Clupeidae. The transcript is spliced from 3 exons. The record is from RefSeq and is a predicted model, not a curated record.